GAUGAACGCUGGCGGCGUGCCUAAUACAUGCAAGUCGAGCGAACAGACGAGGAGCUUGCUCCUCUGACGUUAGCGGCGGACGGGUGAGUAACACGUGGAUAACCUACCUAUAAGACUGGGAUAACUUCGGGAAACCGGAGCUAAUACCGGAUAACAUGUUGAACCGCAUGGUUCAACAGUGAAAGACGGUCUUGCUGUCUCUUAUAGAUGGAUCCGCGCCGCAUUAGCUAGUUGGUAAGGUAACGGCUUACCAAGGCAACGAUGCGUAGCCGACCUGAGAGGGUGAUCGGCCACACUGGAACUGAGACACGGUCCAGACUCCUACGGGAGGCAGCAGUAGGGAAUCUUCCGCAAUGGGCGAAAGCCUGACGGAGCAACGCCGCGUGAGUGAAGAAGGUCUUCGGAUCGUAAAACUCUGUUAUUAGGGAAGAACAAAUGUGUAAGUAACUAUGCACGUCUUGACGGUACCUAAUCAGAAAGCCACGGCUAACUACGUG
Molecule: ribosomal RNA, 497 nt
Filed under: uncultured bacterium
Lineage: Bacteria
Description: partial 16S ribosomal RNA
Rfam family: Bacterial small subunit ribosomal RNA
Source: RNAcentral